RNAcentral lists this ribosomal RNA (460 nucleotides) under uncultured bacterium. RNAcentral describes it as "partial 16S ribosomal RNA". It matches the Rfam family "Bacterial small subunit ribosomal RNA", at positions 338 to 795 of the family's 1533-position model. The record is from RNAcentral.
CCUACGUGAUGCAGCAGUGAGGAAUAUUGGUCACUGGACUAGAGUCUGAACCAGCCAAGUAGCGUGAAGGAUGACUGCCCUAUGGGUUGUAAACUUCUUGUAUAAAUGAAUACAACGAGGCACGUGUGCCUUUUUGCAUGUACUUUAUGAAUAAGGAUCGGCUAACGCCGUGCCAGCAGCCGCUGUAAUACGGAGGAACCGAGCGUUAUCCGGAUUUAUUGGGUUUAAAGGGUGCGUAGAUGGGUUGUUAAGUCCAUUGGGAAAGUUUGCGGCUCAACCGUAAAAUUGCAAUUGAUACUUGCAGUCUUGAGUACAGUUGAGGGAGGCGGAAUUCGUGGUGUAGCGGUGAAAUGCUUAGAUAUCACGAAGAACCCCGAUUGCGAAGGCAGCUUACUAAACUGUGACUGACAUUGAUGCUCGAAAGUGUGGGUAUCAAACAGGAUUAGAUACCCGGGUAGUC